Molecule: ribosomal RNA, 253 nt
Filed under: uncultured bacterium
Lineage: Bacteria
Description: partial 16S ribosomal RNA
Rfam family: Bacterial small subunit ribosomal RNA
Source: RNAcentral
UACAGAGGGGGCAAGCGUUGUUCGGAAUUACUGGGCGUAAAGAGCGUGUAGGCGGCCAUGCAGGUCCGUUGUGAAAACUCGAGGCUCAACCUCGAGACGCCGGUGGAAACCGUGUGGCUAGAGUCCGGAAGAGGAGAGUGGAAUUCCUGGUGUAGCGGUGAAAUGCGCAGAUAUCAGGAAGAACACCCGUGGCGAAGGCGGCUCUCUGGGACGUGACUGACGCUGAGACGCGAAAGCGUGGGGAGCAAACAGG